This 478-nucleotide ribosomal RNA is filed under the name uncultured bacterium. Its description in RNAcentral is "partial 16S ribosomal RNA". It matches the Rfam family "Bacterial small subunit ribosomal RNA", at positions 28 to 523 of the family's 1533-position model. The record is from RNAcentral.
GACGAACGCUGGCGGCGUGCUUAACACAUGCAAGUCGAACGGUAAGGCCCUUCGGGGUACACGAGUGGCGAACGGGUGAGUAACACGUGGGUGAUCUGCCCUGCACUUCGGGAUAAGCCUGGGAAACCGGGUCUAAUACCGGAUAGGACCCUGGGAUGCAUGUCCUGGGGUGGAAAGCUUUUGCGGUGUGGGAUGGGCCCGCGGCCUAUCAGCUUGUUGGUGGGGUGAUGGCCUACCAAGGCGACGACGGGUAGCCGGCCUGAGAGGGGGACCGGCCACACUGGGACUAGGAGACGGCCCAGACUCCUACGGGAGGCAGCAGUGGGGAAUAUUGCACAAUGGGCGCAAGCCUGAUGCAGCGACGCCGCGUGAGGGAUGACGGCCUUCGGGUUGUAAACCUCUUUCAGCACCGACGAAGCGCAAGUGACGGUAGGUGCAGAAGAAGGACCGGCCAACUACGUGCCAGCCGCCGCCGUAA